GUAGUAAAAGCCGAAUAAAGGCAUCGGUCUUGUAAGCCGAAGGUUGAAGGCAUCACUCCUUCUUACUACU
This 70-nucleotide transfer RNA is filed under the name Haliotis fulgens (green abalone). RNAcentral describes it as "tRNA-Thr". It matches the Rfam family "tRNA". From Rfam's summary of the family: Transfer RNA (tRNA) molecules are approximately 80 nucleotides in length. Their secondary structure includes four short double-helical elements and three loops (D, anti-codon, and T loops). Further hydrogen bonds mediate the characteristic L-shaped molecular structure. tRNAs have two regions of fundamental functional importance: the anti-codon, which is responsible for specific mRNA codon recognition, and the 3' end, to which the tRNAs corresponding amino acid is attached (by aminoacyl-tRNA synthetases). tRNAs cope with the degeneracy of the genetic code in two manners: having more than one tRNA (with a specific anti-codon) for a particular amino acid; and 'wobble' base-pairing, i.e. permitting non-standard base-pairing at the 3rd anti-codon position. RNAcentral also lists the same sequence under 2 other names. Lineage: Eukaryota; Metazoa; Mollusca; Gastropoda; Lepetellida; Haliotidae. The record is from RNAcentral.